UCUUCGCACUCUGGAGAGCGGCACGGCCGGGAUUGGAAACAAUCGGCUGGUGCCCACCGAAGGGGCGCGCGAUGGGCCACGAACAGGGCUCGCGCAAUCUCUCAGGUACCGAGGACAGAGGGGUCAUG
This 128-nucleotide non-coding RNA is filed under the name Caballeronia telluris. RNAcentral describes it as "Burkholderia telluris Glycine sequence". It matches the Rfam family "Glycine riboswitch aptamer". From Rfam's summary of the family: This family represents the bacterial glycine riboswitch. Glycine riboswitches usually consist of two metabolite-binding aptamers domains with similar structures in tandem. Lineage: Bacteria; Pseudomonadati; Pseudomonadota; Betaproteobacteria; Burkholderiales; Burkholderiaceae. The record is from Rfam by way of RNAcentral.